Molecule: ribosomal RNA, 549 nt
Filed under: uncultured bacterium
Lineage: Bacteria
Description: bacterial SSU rRNA
Rfam family: Bacterial small subunit ribosomal RNA
Source: RNAcentral
GGAGCAUGUGGUUUAAUUCGAAGCAACGCGAAGAACCUUACCAGGCCUUGACAUCCAAUGAACUUUCCAGAGAUGGAUUGGUGCCUUCGGGAACAUUGAGACAGGUGCUGCAUGGCUGUCGUCAGCUCGUGUCGUGAGAUGUUGGGUUAAGUCCCGUAACGAGCGCAACCCUUGUCCUUAGUUACCAGCACGUCAUGGUGGGCACUCUAAGGAGACUGCCGGUGACAAACCGGAGGAAGGUGGGGAUGACGUCAAGUCCUCAUGGCCCUUACGGGCUGGGCUACACACGUGCUACAAUGGCGGUGACAAUGGGACGCAAAAGGGCAACCUCUCGCAAAUCUCAAAAAGCCGUCUCAGUUCGGAUUGGGCUCUGCGACUCGAGCCCAUGAAGUCGGAAUCGCUAGUAAUCGUGGAUCAGCAUGCCACGGUGAAUACGUUCCCGGGCCUUGUACACACCGCCCGUCACACCAUGGGAGUUGGUUUUACCUGAAGGCGGUACGCUAACCAGCAAUGGAGGCAGCCGACCACGGUAGGGUCAGCGACUGGGGU